GAGGGUUUAGCUCAGUGGUAGAGCAUGUGCUUAGCCUGCUUGAGGUCCUGGGUUCAAUCCCCAUUACCUCCA
Transfer RNA from Camelus ferus (Wild Bactrian camel), 72 nucleotides. It matches the Rfam family "tRNA". From Rfam's summary of the family: Transfer RNA (tRNA) molecules are approximately 80 nucleotides in length. The record is from Rfam. NCBI's taxonomy places the organism in Eukaryota, Metazoa, Chordata, Mammalia, Artiodactyla, Camelidae.